AUUUCCCUGCGGUGCUCGUAAUGGCACACAUUUCCUUGAACCAAUAAAGUUUGCUCGGUUGUCGGGAGUUGUAACAGGCGCGAGCGGUCUCUUGUUAGAUUGCACCCGAAGUUACCCGAGAUGACCACCUUGUGUACAAGGUUCAAGCGGACUCAGCCGAAACGGCAUUCGCGGGGUUCCA
This is a non-coding RNA of Kingella oralis ATCC 51147, 181 nucleotides long. It matches the Rfam family "6S / SsrS RNA". From Rfam's summary of the family: E. coli 6S RNA was the first non coding RNA to be sequenced, but its function was unknown until recently. It consists of 184 nucleotides that fold into an extended hairpin structure with a large single-stranded internal bulge. Lineage: Bacteria; Pseudomonadati; Pseudomonadota; Betaproteobacteria; Neisseriales; Neisseriaceae. The record is from Rfam.